Molecule: ribosomal RNA, 253 nt
Filed under: uncultured bacterium
Lineage: Bacteria
Description: partial 16S ribosomal RNA
Rfam family: Bacterial small subunit ribosomal RNA
Source: RNAcentral
UACGUAGGGGGCAAGCGUUGUCCGGAUUUAUUGGGCGUAAAGAGCGUGUAGGCGGCCAUACAGGUCAGCUGUGAAAACUCGAGGCUCAACCUCGAGACGUCGGUUGAAACCGUUUGGCUAGAGUCCGGAAGAGGAGAGUGGAAUUCCCGGUGUAGCGGUGAAAUUCGUAGAUAUUCGCAAGAACACCAGUGGCGAAGGCGGCUCACUGGCCCGGUACUGACGCUGAGGUGCGAAAGCGUGGGGAGCAAACAGG